ACGCUGGCGGCGUGCCUAAUACAUGCAAGUCGAGCGAACGGACGAGAAGCUUGCUUCUCUGAUGUUAGCGGCGGACGGGUGAGUAACACGUGGAUAACCUACCUAUAAGACUGGGAUAACUUCGGGAAACCGGAGCUAAUACCGGAUAAUAUUUUGAACCGCAUGGUUCAAAAGUGAAAGACGGUCUUGCUGUCACUUAUAGAUGGAUCCGCGCUGCAUUAGCUAGUUGGUAAGGUAACGGCUUACCAAGGCAACGAUGCAUAGCCGACCUGAGAGGGUGAUCGGCCACACUGGAACUGAGACACGGUCCAGACUCCUACGGGAGGCAGCAGUAGGGAAUCUUCCGCAAUGGGCGAAAGCCUGACGGAGCAACGCCGCGUGAGUGAUGAAGGUCUUCGGAUCGUAAAACUCUGUUAUUAGGGAAGAACAUAUGUGUAAGUAACUGUGCACAUCUUGACGGUACCUAAUCAGAAAGCCACGGCUAACUACGUGCCAGCAGCCGCGGUAAUACGUAGGUGGCAAGCGUUAUCCGGAAUUAUUGGGCGUAAAGCGCGCGUAGGCGGUUUUUUAAGUCUGAUGUGAAAGCCCACGGCUCAACCGUGGAGGGUCAUUGGAAACUGGAAAACUUGAGUGCAGAAGAGGAAAGUGGAAUUCCAUGUGUAGCGGUGAAAUGCGCAGAGAUAUGGAGGAACACCAGUGGCGAAGGCGACUUUCUGGUCUGUAACUGACGCUGAUGUGCGAAAGCGUGGGGAUCAA
RNAcentral lists this ribosomal RNA (756 nucleotides) under uncultured bacterium. RNAcentral's name for it is "bacterial SSU rRNA". It matches the Rfam family "Bacterial small subunit ribosomal RNA", at positions 33 to 771 of the family's 1533-position model. The record is from RNAcentral.